AACGCACAUUGCGCCCCCUCUAACAGGGGGGCAUGCCUGUUCGAGCGUCAUUUGUAUCUCAAUGGACAGUGUUCUGUUCGUGUUGGGCUUCGUCCGAAGGGGCGUCGCCUCAAAGAAAUGGGCCCUGUGAGCGGACGGGAUCUCUAGUGGACUGACCGUUUGCGGGCGCUCGGACCCUUCGAAUGUCGACCUCGGAUCAGGUAGGACUACCGCCUGAACUUAA
Molecule: unclassified non-coding RNA, 223 nt
Filed under: uncultured fungus
Lineage: Eukaryota; Fungi
Description: sequence contains ITS2
Source: RNAcentral